RNAcentral lists this ribosomal RNA (106 nucleotides) under Escherichia coli. The record is from RNAcentral. Lineage: Bacteria; Pseudomonadati; Pseudomonadota; Gammaproteobacteria; Enterobacterales; Enterobacteriaceae.
GUAGCGCGGUGGUCCCACCUGACCCCAUGCCGAACUCAGAAGUGAAACGCCGUAGUGCCGAUGGUAGUGUGGGGUCUCCCCAUGCGAGAGUAGGGAACUGCCAGGC